RNAcentral lists this unclassified non-coding RNA (272 nucleotides) under Pezizaceae sp. RNAcentral's name for it is "partial contains 5.8S ribosomal RNA, internal transcribed spacer 2, and large subunit ribosomal RNA". Lineage: Eukaryota; Fungi; Ascomycota; Pezizomycetes; Pezizales; Pezizaceae. The record is from RNAcentral.
CGCAUCUUGCGCCCAAUGGUAUUCCGUUGGGCAUGCCUGUCUGAGUGUCCCUAACCUUCUCAGUCGAUACUUUUUUAUUAUGAAAUGGUCAUCGAUCUGGAUUUUGAGUGUUUUGCUUUUUUGUAAUGAAAAAGCCACUUUAAUCAAAAGGUCAACUUGUAACUUUACGGUUUGACCGGGUGUUGUAAAAUCGCCUCACUCGGGACGUAAAUUACAAGUUUUAUUUAGCGAUUUUAGACCUCAGAUCAGGUAGGAUUACCCGCUGAACUUAA